Molecule: long non-coding RNA, 4461 nt
Filed under: Homo sapiens (human)
Lineage: Eukaryota; Metazoa; Chordata; Mammalia; Primates; Hominidae
Description: uncharacterized LOC107985544 (LOC107985544)
Source: RNAcentral
UCGGCGCUUUUAUCUCUGAAAGGAAGAACACUUGGAAAGGAAGCUGCGUGUUUUUCCUCUUGCCCGGAAGAGCCAGCCUGUAUGUCUCCCUUUUGACCCGAGGCCAAGCGCCUGAAGCCUCUUGGACUUAGUUAACAUUAGUCCGUUUUCUAUGCGUUUGUCCUUGGCUUGGUUUAUGGUGUUUGUUGAAAGAGAUGGGGUCUCUUCUGUUUUCCCAUGAUGGUCUCCAACUGCUGGUCUCAAGUGAUCCUUCUGCCUCAGCCUCCCAAAGUGCUGGUAUGACAGGUGUGAGCCACUGUACCCAGCCUAAUUUAUGCUGUUUGAAGACACUGAAGAGGACGCUGUGUUUCUCCCCACCCUACACAUGUGGACACAGAGGCUGGAGAUGUGAAGGAACUUGUUCUGGGUCACACAGCAGAACCGUCUGGCCUAGUGGAGAUGCCACUGUAGCCAGGUGGCAUGAGGAUCCAAGCUCUGAGCCUGCAUUUCCUGGGGAUGGCACCAGGGAUGGCUGCCAGCUGAAGGAGGGCCCACCCCUCCACACACAGCCCCAUCCUGCCACUCCCCAUCUACAGAUCGGGACAGCUGGGACAUGGUAAGGUCCUGUGAGAUCCAGAGGUGCUCUGGGGCUCCCCAGGUUGCUGAUCCAUGCAGAGCUUCUCCCUGGCUCCUCCUGUCAGAGCCCAAAGAUCCCUGUACUUUGGAAGAUUGGGCAAUGCCUAUGUGCACGAUUAGAUAAUUAGUUACAUGCUCCUCAGGUGCCGUUAAGAAAAUGACACUCCAAGGCUGUGUGUACUUCACACAGGCCAUUACUGCUCAUCCACGCACAGGAAAGCAGCCCCAGAGGACCUGUCGGGGCUGCCCUGCCCGAGCCACCCACCGGCAUGGGGAUCCUGGAGAGCUCCCGGCCGAUGCAGUUCUUCAUGAUGCUCCAGAGGUUAAGGCUGUAGUUGGGCUUGUUGGGAAUGCGGACUCGCCUCUUGACUUUGGAUGAACCCUUGGGCACGAGCGAGGCACCAUCUAGUACCUGCCACAUAAGUGGGGACCCCCUCACCGUCAGCAGAGGCCAGAGCGCCCCCUUGGCUUCCAAGUUUCUGCCCUCCACCCUGAGGACUGGCACCAAGCCGGCCACUGGUACGCUGCUGGUGGAAGGCCAGGAUGGUGCUCCUGGACUGGGGCAUGGGCCUGCCUGCUGGCCCCCAGUUCUUGGUGCUGGCCUGUCCCUCCCACCCCCUAGGCCAGAAGCUGCCUUCUGGCCCUUACAGUGCUCCCCCUCACUUACAUUGUCUGCUGAGCUCCAGUCCACGGAACUUGUCCCGGUGCUACCUUCAGCUUUUCUGCUGGAAAUACAAAGCGGGAGGCAAGUUACUAAUGAAUCCCGAGGUCUCCUUGGGACCUGGCCCAUCCUCUCUCCAGACAACAUCAUUUUCAUUGCUAGUAAAUGUCCUGGUCACUGCCGUGUGUUCUGUGUGUAGACAGGCACCGCAAUAACAACAUUUCAAGGGUGGAUAGUGUAUAUGACAGUGGUCCCAUAAGACUAUCAUAUCGUAUUUUUAAUAUACCUUUUCUAUGUUUAGAUACACAAAUCCUUAACCAUUGUGUCACAAUUGCCUACAAUAUUCAGUACAGUCACAUGUUGUACAGGUUUGUAGCCCAGGAGCUAUAGGCUGUGCCAUAUAGCCCAGGUGUGUGGCAGGCUCUAUCAGCUAGGUUUGUGUAAGUAUACUCUAUGAGGCUCACACAACAAUGAAAUCCCAUCUGGAGCAAGACCGAUAGAUUAUUGAUUUUUUGAGACAGGGUCUCUCUGUUGCCCAGGCUAGAGUGCAGUGGCAUGACCAUGGCUCACUGCAGCCUCCACCUCCCUGGGCUCAAGCGACCCUCCCACUUCAGCCUCCCAAGUAGCUGGGACUACAGGCCUGCACUACCAUGCCUGGCUAGUUUUUGUAUUUUUUGUAGAGACAGGGUUUCGCCAUGUUGCCCAGGCUGGUCUCAAACUCUUGUAUUCAAGCAAUCUUCUUACCCUUGGCCUCCCAAAGUGCUGGGAGCCACUGGGCCUGGCCAAAGCAAGAUUUAAAGGAAAGAAAACCCCAAGUAGACAACUAGAUAGCUGGUGAAAAGACCAGAUGCAGCCUAAGACCAGGGUGGGGGAGGCUCUGCCCAGCUGCAGCCACCUUACCUGUCUUCCUUGGCCUCGGUGAUCACGGUGAUGAAGGAUGUGGAGUCUUCCAUGGCAUCAAAGUACUCGGUAUCUUCAUCUUCCUCACUGUCCUCUCCUUUGGGAGUCAAGAGGCUUCCUAGAGACACAGACAGAGCUUUAAUUUGUAACCUCACAAAAGGCUCAAUCUCGCCUCCCUAAGUCCAGAGCCAAGGGCUCCCCCAACCCCCAUCUGGCCUCACUCCCCUCCUGCUUCAGUCACCUGGGCAGCCCUGAUUCCCUGGGCUGCGGCCACCCUUGCUCCCUCUGCUAGAAUCAUGUGCUUUCAACGCAUUCACCGCACAGGAGCCUCUUUCUGGAAGCCCCCCCGAUCUCUCAACAUGUGGGUCAGUCUUUCUGUGGCCCAGCUUCCCUUUCUGAUGGACCCCUGUCCAGGGUCCCCAUGACCCCCAACCCAAGGCUAGGUGGGUGGCCACCUGGCACCAGGACACCCCUGUCACACAGGGGACAGCUGGGCUCAUUAAAUUUAACUCUUGAGAAUGUGAACCUAGGUGCAGACAAACUGUUGCCAGUGGGUGAUGGACAUGGGAGAUACAAAACCACGAAGAGGCAGUCAAGAGUUGGCCAAGGCCAGCCCACAUGUGGGCACAGCCAGGGAUGUGCAUGUGGGGGCGCAGAAGUUGUGUAUGCAGAGCCAGCUGGCAGAAGGUCAUGGGACAGCCCUGCCCUGGCUGCCCACUCACCCUCAAUGAAGCUCUUGGAGGGGUUGGCCGGCCGGCCAGGGGCACUGUGGAAGGCCCGCUCGAGGCUGUUGUGCUGCUUCGCCAGCUGCUCAAUGGUUUCCUCCAAGUGCACGCGCUGCUCCUGCUCAUACUGCAGUGCCCGCUGCCAUUUCCGACUGUGUAUCUCUGCUAGUUCCAAGAAGUCCCUGCAGGCCUGGGGAGGGAGGAGUGGCGGUAUGAGACCCUGGCCUCUGGCAGGGGCCCAUCUGUCAGAGGCAUGUGAACCAGAGCAACUCCACCUUAAACAGGAGCUGGGUAAGAUGAGGCUGAAACCUACUGGGCUGCAUUCCCAGACAGCUAAGGCAUUCUAAGUCACAGGAUGAGAUACAAAAUACAGGUCAUAAAGACCUUGCUGAUAAAACAGGUUGCAGUAAAGGAGCCGGCCAAAACCCAUCAAAACCAAAAUGGCGACGAGAGUGACCUCUGGUCGUCCUCACUGCUACACUCCCACCAGCGCCACAGUUCACAGAUGCCAUGGCAACAUCAGGAAGUCAUCCUCUAUGGUCUAAAAAGGGGAGGCAUGAAUAAUCCACCCCUUGUUUAGCAUAUCAGCAAGAAAUAACCAUAAAAAUGGGCAACAAGCAGCCCCGGGGGCUGCUCUAUCUAUGGAGUAGCCAUUCUUUUAUUCCUUUACUUUCUUGAUAAACUUGCUCUCACUUUGCACAGCAGACUCGCCUUGAAUUCUUUCUUGUGUGAGAUCCAAGAACCCUCUCGUGGGGUCUGGAUCAGGACCCCUUUCCUAUAACACAUCUGCUCCCCCACCUCCAUUCCCUGUGAGGACUAAGCUCUGAUAUUUUUUAUCUUGCCCAAAUUCCUAUCUAAGGCGUCUGGGGAGUCAUGCCCUAAAAACCAUACAUUCUCAUCAGAUGGGCUUUAUUUAGCCCUAUAUAUCGUGACUUACUUUCCAACCUGACUCUGGCAUAACAUUACGAGUCAAGGAAGAAAAAGUAUUUCAUCCCAAAACAUGCUUCUUUGCCAUAUUUUGAAGUGGCCCUGCAAAGCUGUCCUUUGUGGGGGAAAACGUGCAUCUGUAAAGAAUCUCUAUUCACAGAGCUAGAUCGUUUUCUUCCAGGCCCUCCCAACCCUGAAGAGAUGAAGUAAGAGUCUUAGCACCUUUUUAAAGGUCUGAUUAGGAAACAUUUGUCAUCUAUUGUCUCCAAGGGGAGCCACUAUAAGACUUAAAAAGAACCUUGGUCUCCACAAUCUUUCAUCUUAACCUGAACAUUUCCUUUCUAUUGAUCCCAGGUCUUUAGACAACUCAACCAAGUGCCAACCAGAAAAUGUUUAAAUUUACCUAUAGCCUGGAAGGCCCCCUCCCCACCUUGCUUUUGAGCUGUCCCGCCUUUCUGAACCAAACCAAUGUAUUUCUUAAAUGUAUUUGAUUGCUGCCUCAUGCCUCCCUAAAAUAUAUAAAACCAAGCUGCGCCCCAACCACCUUGGGCACAUGUUCUCAGGACCUCCCAAGAGCUAUGUCAUGGCUGUGGUCACUCAUAUUUGGCUGAGAAUAAAUCUCUUCAAAUAUUU